GCCCCCAUCGUCUAAUGGUUAGGACAUCAGACUUUCAAUCUGACAACAAGAGUCCGAUUCUCUUUGGGGGUA
RNAcentral lists this transfer RNA (72 nucleotides) under Aeriscardovia sp. Its description in RNAcentral is "tRNA-Glu". It matches the Rfam family "tRNA". Rfam says of the family: Transfer RNA (tRNA) molecules are approximately 80 nucleotides in length. Their secondary structure includes four short double-helical elements and three loops (D, anti-codon, and T loops). Further hydrogen bonds mediate the characteristic L-shaped molecular structure. tRNAs have two regions of fundamental functional importance: the anti-codon, which is responsible for specific mRNA codon recognition, and the 3' end, to which the tRNAs corresponding amino acid is attached (by aminoacyl-tRNA synthetases). tRNAs cope with the degeneracy of the genetic code in two manners: having more than one tRNA (with a specific anti-codon) for a particular amino acid; and 'wobble' base-pairing, i.e. permitting non-standard base-pairing at the 3rd anti-codon position. RNAcentral also lists the same sequence under 1 other name. Lineage: Bacteria; Bacillati; Actinomycetota; Actinomycetes; Bifidobacteriales; Bifidobacteriaceae. The record is from RNAcentral.